UUAGUACUAGCGGGUAGUCCUACCUGAUUUGAGGCCAGAUGUCAAGAAUAUUAAUCCGAAGAUCAAUGGAUUAGAAAGCGGUCUUUAGUCUUGCAACGCGGCCAUCCGAAGAUGUCCUUAGCGAAAUACUUAUUACGCCAAGUCAAACCAUGUCGCGAGACAGAUCCAGCUAUUACUUUUAAGACGAGCCGACUUAUCAU
RNAcentral lists this unclassified non-coding RNA (200 nucleotides) under uncultured Tremellomycetes. Its description in RNAcentral is "sequence contains ITS2". Lineage: Eukaryota; Fungi; Basidiomycota; Tremellomycetes. The record is from RNAcentral.